CCUGUCCCUGUCCCCCCUGUCCCAGGUGUGUCCCACCUGUCCCAGGUGUGUCCCCCCAUCCCUGUCCCCCCUGUCCCAGGUGUGUCCCCCCUGUGCUCACCUGAGCCUCUCUCUGCUGCCGUCUGUGGGGGCGUGGCCUUGGGGGCGUGGCCUUGGGUGACACAGGUGGGGGCGUGGCCUUGGCCCCACCCAAGGGGUGCUGCACAGGUGGGCGUGGCCACUGGGGUGGGGCAGCAGUGGGUGUGGCCCGGGGUGGGCGUGGCCUGACCCCACCCAAGGGCUGACCCAGGUGUGACCCCGAGGGUGACCCGGCUGUGGGCGUGGCCCAGGUGUGGGCGUGGCCAGCAGUGCUGUAAUUAAAAUCUCGUUAAUGAGC
Long non-coding RNA from Haemorhous mexicanus (house finch), 376 nucleotides. RefSeq lists it as uncharacterized. The transcript has 2 exons. The record is from RefSeq and is a predicted model, not a curated record. Lineage: Eukaryota; Metazoa; Chordata; Aves; Passeriformes; Fringillidae.